RNAcentral lists this long non-coding RNA (864 nucleotides) under Mytilus galloprovincialis (Mediterranean mussel). The record is from RNAcentral. Lineage: Eukaryota; Metazoa; Mollusca; Bivalvia; Mytilida; Mytilidae.
CCGUGACUGAAUUAAAGUAUAUAACUAUGCGCAAGCCUUAUUUUAGUAUUAGUAUUGUCAUCUGAUAUAGUCAUGCCGAUUAUAAGAUACACAGUUUUCUCUGCUUUCAAAUCUUUCUGUUUGAACCCGUCGAACUGGAACUUAUCAAUUAUUGGUAAUAUUAAUUAUUUGGAAAACAAAAGGUCCAGGAAUGGAGUAUUUUUUAAUCAACAGCAUUGUCCUAUAUUAGUUAUAAAUAAAGUUGAAUUCUCAGUUUGAUUCGCUGUUUUACGUCAUGCCCGCUAACAAAUUGAAAACUGUACCUAUACGCCUUAUUUUUAGUCCAGAUUUUUAGUAUUCGUAUUGUUAUCUUAGAAAGUCUUACUGAUUAAAAUACUACAGUAUUAAGGUAACAAUUUGACAAUUUAGUAGUGUCAAUCCUGUGAUUAUGACCCGUUUAUAUAGCAUAUUAAUCCUGAAUACACCGUUUGGUGGUGUGUCUGUCAGAUGCGGAACGUACAGAUAAGGUAAUAUGUAACAGGUGAAUAUACUAUUGGUAUCGAUAUCGGACUCGACUCGGAACUUCUUAAUUAUUGGCAAUAUUAAUUACGUGGAAGACAAAAGGGCCUUGAGUGGUGUAAUUUUUAAUCUACACCUUUGAACUAUAUUAGUUAUAUAUAAAGUUGAAUUCUUUGAUUCGUCGUUAGGCCAACUAAAAUUAAUUAGUAGAUUUUCAUCCAAAUUUUUGAAAAAAAUGGGGCGGGUGGGAGGAUUUUAUUUUUUAAAUUUUAUUUCAUAUGAAACUUUCUUGUCAGGUGUUAUUCAUAUAUGCAAGUGUAAUAAUAAGCUUAUAUCAUGUAAAUACAUUCAUAAGGUAUCGUGUAU